UGGGGAAUAUUGCACAAUGGGCGCAAGCCUGAUGCAGCCAUGCCGCGUGUGUGAAGAAGGCCUUCGGGUUGUAAAGCACUUUCAGCGAGGAGGAAGGUGGUGAAACUUAAUACGUUUCAUCAAUUGACGUUACUCGCAGAAGAAGCACCGGCUAACUCCGUGCCAGCAGCCGCGGUAAUACGGAGGGUGCAAGCGUUAAUCGGAAUUACUGGGCGUAAAGCGCACGCAGGCGGUUUGUUAAGUCAGAUGUGAAAUCCCCAGGCUCAACCUGGGAACUGCAUUUGAAACUGGCAAGCUAGAGUCUCGUAGAGGGGGUAGAAUUCCAGGUGUAGCGGUGAAAUGCGUAGAGAUCUGGAGGAAUACCGGUGGCGAAGGCGGCCCCCUGACGAAGACUGACGCUCAGGUGCGAAAAGCGUGGGGAGCAAAACAGGAUUAGAUACCCUGGUAGUCCACGCUGUAAACGAUGUCGAUUUUGGAGGUUGUGCCCUUGAGGCGUGGCUUCCGGAGCU
Molecule: ribosomal RNA, 509 nt
Filed under: uncultured bacterium
Lineage: Bacteria
Description: partial 16S ribosomal RNA
Rfam family: Bacterial small subunit ribosomal RNA
Source: RNAcentral